RNAcentral lists this ribosomal RNA (253 nucleotides) under uncultured bacterium. RNAcentral describes it as "partial 16S ribosomal RNA". It matches the Rfam family "Bacterial small subunit ribosomal RNA", at positions 524 to 776 of the family's 1533-position model. The record is from RNAcentral.
UACGUAGGGUGCAAGCGUUGUCCGGAAUUAUUGGGCGUAAAGAGCUCGUAGGCGGUCUGUCACGUCGGCUGUGAAAACUCGGGGCUCAACUCCGAGCCUGCAGUCGAUACGGGCAGACUAGAGUUCGGUAGGGGAGACUGGAAUUCCUGGUGUAGCGGUGAAAUGCGCAGAUAUCAGGAGGAACACCGGUGGCGAAGGCGGGUCUCUGGGCCGAUACUGACGCUGAGGAGCGAAAGCGUGGGGAGCAAACAGG